This 75-nucleotide transfer RNA is filed under the name Alphaproteobacteria bacterium. RNAcentral's name for it is "tRNA-Asn". It matches the Rfam family "tRNA". From Rfam's summary of the family: Transfer RNA (tRNA) molecules are approximately 80 nucleotides in length. Lineage: Bacteria; Pseudomonadati; Pseudomonadota; Alphaproteobacteria. The record is from RNAcentral.
UCCCAGGUAGCUCAGUGGUAGAGCAGCCGGCUGUUAACCGGCUGGUCGGGGGUUCGAAUCCCUCCCUGGGAGCCA